Molecule: ribosomal RNA, 225 nt
Filed under: Agelaia vicina
Lineage: Eukaryota; Metazoa; Arthropoda; Insecta; Hymenoptera; Vespidae
Description: partial small subunit ribosomal RNA
Source: RNAcentral
UUAAAUCAUUAAAUUUAGAAGAUUUGGCGGUAUUUUAUAUAAUUAGAGGAACCUGUGUAUGAAUUGAUGAUCCACGAUAAGAUUUACUUAAUUAUUUAUGUAUUGCUGUUUUAAAAUUAUUAUUAAUUAAGUUUUUUUUAAGUUAAAAUAAUUUAAUUCAAGUCAAAAUAUAGUUUAAUUAAGAUAUGGGUUACAUUUUAAUUUUGAAAUUGGAUUUAAAAGUAA